Molecule: ribosomal RNA, 432 nt
Filed under: uncultured bacterium
Lineage: Bacteria
Description: partial 16S ribosomal RNA
Rfam family: Bacterial small subunit ribosomal RNA
Source: RNAcentral
AACGAACGCUGGCGGCAUGCCUAACACAUGCAAGUCGAACGAGACCUUCGGGUCUAGUGGCGCACGGGUGCGUAACGCGUGGGAACCUGCCCUUAGGUUCGGAAUAACUCCCCGAAAGGGGUGCUAAUACCGGAUAAUGUCUUCGGACCAAAGAUUUAUCGCCUUUGGAUGGGCCCGCGUUGGAUUAGCUAGUUGGUAGGGUAAAAGCCUACCAAGGCGACGAUCCAUAGCUGGUCUGAGAGGAUGAUCAGCCACACUGGGACUGAGACACGGCCCAGACUCCUACGGGAGGCAGCAGUGGGGAAUAUUGGACAAUGGGCGAAAGCCUGAUCCAGCAAUGCCGCGUGAGUGAUGAAGGCCUUAGGGUUGUAAAGCUCUUUUACCCGGGAUGAUAAUGACAGUACCGGGAGAAUACGCUCCGGCUAACUCCGU